GAUUUUAAUCAAAUCUAUCAUGCCAGAGACAAAAACCGUGCCAAUGUGGAUCGUGGCCGCCUGGUGCGUUUCUGCAACGCCCUAAACAACAGUGAGCUCAAGGAGAUUCACAUGCAAAAUAGGAGAUUUACUUGGAGUAACGAACAAAGUAACCUGACGAUGAAGCUAGAUAGCUUUUUCUGCAAUGAAGAUUGGGAUUUAGAGUUUGCCUCCCACAUUCUGCACGCCCUCUCCUCAUCACUUUUGGAUCACUGCCCCCUCCUGCUUGCUAAUGAUGCUGGCCCAAAGAAGCCUAAAUCCUUCCGGUUUGAAAACUUCUGGACAAAGAUGCCGGGAUUCCAACGCGUCGUCUCCGAGGCAUGGAAUGUGAAUUACGGUCAUGUCGAACCUUAUCAACGGCUAUUCCACAAGCUUAAGAGAACAGGACAAAAGUUGCGCUCCUGGAGCAAGACCCUUUUCUCGAACUCCAGGGUCCAGUUACACAUGGCUAUCAAGGUCAUCCUUCACUUUGACCUCGCUCAAGAAUAGAGAGACCUAAGCCCGGAGGAAAGGGAUCUUCAGACAAGAUUAAAGCGUAGGAUCGUUGGCUUGGCAGUGCUCGAAAAAUCUAGAAAAAGGCAAAACUCUAGGAUUACCAAUCUUAAAGAAGGAGAUGCCAACACCCAUUAUUUCUACCUCCAUGUCAAUCACCGGAGGAGGAAAAAUCUUAUUCAUCGCCUCAAACACAACCAGGGUUAG
This 738-nucleotide ribosomal RNA is filed under the name Triticum aestivum (bread wheat). Its description in RNAcentral is "partial small subunit ribosomal RNA". Lineage: Eukaryota; Viridiplantae; Streptophyta; Magnoliopsida; Poales; Poaceae. The record is from RNAcentral.